AUUGAACGCUGGCGGCAGGCCUAACACAUGCAAGUCGAACGGUAACAGGAAGAAGCUUGCUUCUUUGCUGACGAGUGGCGGACGGGUGAGUAAUGUCUGGGAAACUGCCUGAUGGAGGGGGAUAACUACUGGAAACGGUAGCUAAUACCGCAUAACGUCGCAAGACCAAAGAGGGGGACCGUCGGGCCUCUUGCCAUCGGAUGUGCCCAGAUGGGAUUAGCUAGUAGGUGGGGUAACGGCUCACCUAGGCGACGAUCCCUAGCUGGUCUGAGAGGAUGACCAGCCACACUGGAACUGAGACACGGUCCAGACUCCUACGGGAGGCAGCAGUGGGGAAUAUUGCACAAUGGGCGCAAGCCUGAUGCAGCCAUGCCGCGUGUAUGAAGAAGGCCUUCGGGUUGUAAAGUACUUUCAGCGGGGAGGAAGGGAGUAAAGUUAAUACCUUUGCUCAUUGACGUUACCCGCAGAAGAAGCACCGGCUAACUCCGUG
This 490-nucleotide ribosomal RNA is filed under the name uncultured bacterium. Its description in RNAcentral is "partial 16S ribosomal RNA". It matches the Rfam family "Bacterial small subunit ribosomal RNA", at positions 30 to 507 of the family's 1533-position model. The record is from RNAcentral.